AAUUCUCUUAAACUUUCCCAUCCCACUUUCUUCCAAACCUUGGGACUAAAUUUGGGUCUCUCCUCCAAUUUUAAGCCGGCCCAACGCAGAAAUAAUUCUUCCAGCCCACUCCCAGUUAAUCCCCAGACCCGACCCAGCCAGAAACCACGUGAAGUUCCAGACGCGAUCAAGCGGCGUCAAAAGGGGAAACCCAGAACCACAAUAGUCCCAGCAGUAAAAGACGCCUCCUACUUUCACGGCGAUAGACGGUGCAAUACAGGGAAAGCAGCAGUAGAAAAACGCGUACAGCAACGCGCAGUAUGCUCUUUGUCUUCUUCCUCCCGUGUCGCUUUCGUCCUCGCAGUCGCAGUAGCAGAAGAGGCAUACAGGAAUCGUCCUUGUGACUGUGAGAUGAAGCCACCUCGCUCAUCAAGGACGCUCAAUCGAUCCCAAUCGUCCAUCCCGCUUUCCCGUUUCGGAAGGUUUCAAAUUUCAGAGAAAGUUGUUCAUCCUUUUUGGUGAAUGGUUUUGCGAAUUCAAAUUGGAAUUGGGCCCCCUUUCACCCGAUUUUUAUCCGUUCCCCCCCACCCCCACCCCAAAUCCAACCGUCCCCUAUAUAACGUCUUUUCCUUGUUCACUGAAAGGGGAGGGGAUUUUAUUUUUUGAAGACUUCAGUCGAACUUUUUGAGGCAGAAAGCUGAGAAAAUAGUGAAAGAGUAGCGGGACAGUGAAAGAAUUGUUUAAAGUUCAUUCUCCAGGAAAAUCAAAAAUAGUCUUUUAGUUUGAAGUUCUUAAAGGGUUCUGGGAUUCAAAGUCGAUUCAGACAUCUUGGUUCGUUGUUCGUGUCGGAGUUUGACGUUCACGAAAUUAUCCUUUGGGUGUUGAGUUCGCUAUUUCCUUACUCGUUGUUGUCACAACUAUGCUGCCCCUCUAAAGACUAUGUUCAUUUGGUAUUUUGAGCACAUUAGGAGUUCUAGAGCUUGGAAUAGAGUGAUUUUUGUGACGUUCUUCUCGAUAUAAUAUGGAGAUUUGGGAGAUUUGGAGACUUAUCAUAAAGGGAAGGCCCAAGUACCAAAUUGAUUUCACUCUCUUUUAAGGCAAGUGGACCUCUUGAAUCUUUGUUAAGUGUAUUGGACCUUUUACGUCAUUAUGUGAUUUUGAGUAAUUAAAACUAAUGAAGGGUUUCAUAUAUUUUUUCUCUUGUAAAUGGUGAAUAAGUGUUUUGACGAUAACUAGGGGUAAAAUAAAAAUGUUGUUGGUUUGUGGUAUAGAUUGUGCCUUGAAUACUUGAAUAAUUAUAUUAAUUCACCUUGAUGAAGUGCCUGGAUUA
Molecule: long non-coding RNA, 1309 nt
Organism: Solanum pennellii
Lineage: Eukaryota; Viridiplantae; Streptophyta; Magnoliopsida; Solanales; Solanaceae
Exons: 3
Source: RefSeq, a predicted model, not a curated record